UGGCGCAGUGGUUAAAGCACUCAGCUGUUAACUGAAAGGUCGGUGGUUCGAACCCACC
Molecule: transfer RNA, 58 nt
Filed under: Loxodonta africana (African savanna elephant)
Lineage: Eukaryota; Metazoa; Chordata; Mammalia; Proboscidea; Elephantidae
Rfam family: tRNA
About the family: Transfer RNA (tRNA) molecules are approximately 80 nucleotides in length. Their secondary structure includes four short double-helical elements and three loops (D, anti-codon, and T loops).
Source: Rfam by way of RNAcentral